RNAcentral lists this ribosomal RNA (309 nucleotides) under Tychiodes sp. D0191. Its description in RNAcentral is "partial large subunit ribosomal RNA". The stretch from base 175 to 309 matches the Rfam family "Bacterial large subunit ribosomal RNA", at positions 2473 to 2608 of the family's 2925-position model. The record is from RNAcentral. Lineage: Eukaryota; Metazoa; Arthropoda; Insecta; Coleoptera; Curculionidae.
GACCCUAUAGAAUUUUAUAUUUUUAUUUGAGGAGGUAUUAGUAUUUAAAAUUCCUUUAAGAUAAAAUAUUUAGUUGGGGUGAUUGAAAAAUUUAAUUAACUUUUUUUAUAUAGAUACAUAAAUAAGUGAGUAUAUGAUCCUAAAUUUUAGAUUAUAAGAAAAAAUUACCUUAGGGAUAACAGCGUAAUAUUUUUUAAGAGUUCUAAUCGAAAAAAAUGUUUGCGACCUCGAUGUUGGAUUAAAAUUGAGUUUUGGUGUAGAAGCUAAAUAAUUAGGUCUGUUCGACCUUUAAAAUUUUACAUGAUCUGA